UACAGAGGUCCCAAGCGUUGUUCGGAUUCACUGGGCGUAAAGGGUGCGUAGGCGGCCGGGUAAGUCUGUUGUGAAAUCCCGCAGCUCAACUGCGGAACUGCAGUGGAUACUAUCCGGCUCGAGGAAUGGAGGGGAGACUGGAAUUCUCGGUGUAGCAGUGAAAUGCGUAGAUAUCGAGAGGAACACCAGUGGCGAAGGCGAGUCUCUGGACAUUUCCUGACGCUGAGGCACGAAAGCCAGGGGAGCAAACGGG
This 253-nucleotide ribosomal RNA is filed under the name uncultured bacterium. RNAcentral's name for it is "partial 16S ribosomal RNA". It matches the Rfam family "Bacterial small subunit ribosomal RNA", at positions 524 to 776 of the family's 1533-position model. The record is from RNAcentral.